RNAcentral lists this ribosomal RNA (253 nucleotides) under uncultured bacterium. Its description in RNAcentral is "partial 16S ribosomal RNA". It matches the Rfam family "Bacterial small subunit ribosomal RNA", at positions 524 to 776 of the family's 1533-position model. The record is from RNAcentral.
UACGGGGGGGGCAAGCGUUGUUCGGAAUUACUGGGCGUAAAGGGCUCGUAGGUGGCCAACUAAGUCAGACGUGAAAUCCCCAGGCUCAACCUGGGAACUGCGUCUGAUACUGGAUGGCUUGAGUUCGGGAGAGGGAAGUGGAAUUCCAGGUGUAGCGGUGAAAUGCGUAGAUAUCUGGAGGAACACCGGUGGCGAAGGCAGCUUCCUGGACCGACACUGACGCUGAGGCGCGAAAGCCAGGGGAGCAAACGGG